AUUGAACGCUGGCGGCAGGCCUAACACAUGCAAGUCGAACGGUAGCACAGAGAGCUUGCUCUCGGGUGACGAGUGGCGGACGGGUGAGUAAUGUCUGGGAAACUGCCCGAUGGAGGGGGAUAACUACUGGAAACGGUAGCUAAUACCGCAUAACGUCGCAAGACCAAAGUGGGGGACCUUCGGGCCUCACACCAUCGGAUGUGCCCAGAUGGGAUUAGCUAGUUGGUGGGGUAAUGGCUCACCAAGGCGACGAUCCCUAGCUGGUCUGAGAGGAUGACCAGCCACACUGGAACUGAGACACGGUCCAGACUCCUACGGGAGGCAGCAGUGGGGAAUAUUGCACAAUGGGCGCAAGCCUGAUGCAGCCAUGCCGCGUGUAUGAAGAAGGCCUUCGGGUUGUAAAGUACUUUCAGCGAGGAGGAAGGCAUUAAGGUUAAUAACCUUAGUGAUUGACGUUACUCGCAGAAGAAGCACCGGCUAACUCCGUGCCAGCCGCCGCCGUAA
Molecule: ribosomal RNA, 504 nt
Filed under: uncultured bacterium
Lineage: Bacteria
Description: partial 16S ribosomal RNA
Rfam family: Bacterial small subunit ribosomal RNA
Source: RNAcentral